CAUCGCCUCUUGAUUUAAUAUAAGAGGUCCAGCCUGCCCAGUGACAUAGUUUAACGGCCGCGGUAUCCUAACCGUGCAAAGGUAGCAUAAUCACUUGUUCUUUAAAUAGGGACUAGUAUCAACGGCAUCACGAGGGUUGCACUGUCUCCUCUCUUUAAUCAGUGAAACUGAUUUCCCCGUGAAGAAGCGGGGAUAUAUUUAUAAGACGAGAAGACCCCAUGGAGCUUAAAACCCAAUAUACACCUCUAAGCAUACCUUACCACACAAAUCAUAGAGCUUUGUAUACUGGUUUUAGGUUGGGGGGACCACGGAGUAAAACAUAACCUCCAUGACAAACGGGCCAAAGCCCUUACCCAAGAAUUACAAUUCUAAGAAUCAACAAGCUGAUGUUUAAUGACCCGAUUAUUCGAUCAACGAACCAAGUUACCCUGGGGAUAACAGCGCAAUCUACUUCAAGAGUCCCUAUCGACAAGUGGGUUUACGACCUCGAUGUUGGAUCAGGGUGUCCUAGUGGUGCAACCGCUACUAAAGG
RNAcentral lists this ribosomal RNA (532 nucleotides) under Amolops spinapectoralis. RNAcentral's name for it is "partial large subunit ribosomal RNA". It matches the Rfam family "Bacterial large subunit ribosomal RNA", at positions 1816 to 2571 of the family's 2925-position model. Lineage: Eukaryota; Metazoa; Chordata; Amphibia; Anura; Ranidae. The record is from RNAcentral.